Molecule: long non-coding RNA, 403 nt
Organism: Corythoichthys intestinalis (scribbled pipefish)
Lineage: Eukaryota; Metazoa; Chordata; Actinopteri; Syngnathiformes; Syngnathidae
Exons: 3
Source: RefSeq, a predicted model, not a curated record
GACAUGGAAAGCGGCUCUUGAGGACAGGGCUUGGAGACCCCUGGUUCAGCCUUUUGAAAAGAGGAUAAUGGAAAAGUAAUGAAACUUGGAUUGAUGAAGAAGGUUCUGACGGGUCAUUGACUGAAAGUUGCCUCGCUCGGUCCUCACCUCCGGGUAGCAGUCUUUGGCGAAAACGUGCAGCAGCGCCGUCUUGCCACACUGCGCGUCACCCACUACCACGAUCUUACAGCGGCUGCCUUGAGUCUCCAUGCCGCUCAGAGCCUUGGCCGGCGUGCUGCUCCUCCUCUGCAGCGGUUGACAGUCUGACUGAGUGUCGGUCGACUGACCGCCCGCCCGCCCGGACUGAGGUGAGGUGAGCCACCAGAAGGCAGGCAGACGAGCGAGCGGGUAGGCACUGGCACAG